GACGAACGCUGGCGGCGUGCCUAAUACAUGCAAGUAGAACGCUGAAGGAGGAGCUUGCUCCUCUGGAUGAGUUGCGAACGGGUGAGUAACGCGUAGGUAACCUGCCUGGUAGCGGGGGAUAACUAUUGGAAACGAUAGCUAAUACCGCAUAAUAGCAGUUGUUGCAUGACAACUGUUUGAAAGGUGCAAUUGCACCACUACCAGAUGGACCUGCGUUGUAUUAGCUAGUUGGUGGGGUAACGGCUCACCAAGGCGACGAUACAUAGCCGACCUGAGAGGGUGAUCGGCCACACUGGGACUGAGACACGGCCCAGACUCCUACGGGAGGCAGCAGUAGGGAAUCUUCGGCAAUGGACGGAAGUCUGACCGAGCAACGCCGCGUGAGUGAAGAAGGUUUUCGGAUCGUAAAGCUCUGUUGUAAGAGAAGAACGAGUGUGAGAGUGGAAAGUUCACACUGUGACGGUAUCUUACCAGAAAGGGACGGCUAACUACGUG
This 495-nucleotide ribosomal RNA is filed under the name uncultured bacterium. Its description in RNAcentral is "partial 16S ribosomal RNA". It matches the Rfam family "Bacterial small subunit ribosomal RNA", at positions 28 to 507 of the family's 1533-position model. The record is from RNAcentral.